AACAAUCUGGAGAGUAGUUAAUGGAGUCGGUGACUCAGCUCACUUUGCUGUGGUUUCUGCUCUGUCAUCAGCAUGGAUGUCUGGUCAUUUUCGUAGAAACCAAGGAGAGUCCUGGAAGAAAUGAUGAGAAAAACCCUGGAGCAAAAUACUUUACCAAAAAAGGACAAAAUAAGGCUUGUGACUGCAAUUUAAAAAUUGUUAAAGGACACCGUUUCAUAGGGAAUAAAUGAGAAGUGGGUAAUGACUGUUUAUUUGAAUGAUUCAAUGCAAAUUCCCUGGAACAGUAAAUCUGGCCCAGUUUGUUUAAAGUAGAACAUGUUUGACCUGAAACUUCUCGGAAAUACAAAUAUUUUGUAAGAGAUUUUCAGAUAAUGGAGUCUGGUCCCUCUGUCCAUGGGCCAUCAGCACCUGCAGUUCACACCACACUUUCCAGGGAAGAAGGCAUCUACAGCACACCACCCACUGCAGGAACAGUGCAGAUUCCCACAUCUACAGCACAGCACCCACUGCAGGAACAGCACAGUUUCCCACAUCUACAGUGCAGCACCCACUGCAGGAAGAGCGCAGAUUCCCACAUCUACAGUGCAGCACCCACUGCAGGAACAGCGCAGAUUCCCACAUCUACAGCUCAGCACCCACUGCAGGAAGAGCGCAGAUUCCCACAUCUACAGAACAGCACACACUGCAGGAACAGUGCAGAUUCCCACAUCUACAGCUCAGCACCCACUGCAGGAACAGCGCAGAUUCCCUCAUCUACAGCACGGCACCCACUGCAGGAACAGCACAGAUUCCCACAUCUACAGUACGGCACCCACUGCAGGAACAGCGCAGAUUCCCACAUCUACAGCACAGCACCCACUGCAGGAACAGCACAGAUUCCCACAUCUACAGUACGGCACCCACUGCAGGAACAGUGCAGAUUCCCACAUCUACAGUACGGCACCCACUGCAGGAACAGCGCAGAUUCCCUCAUCUACAGCACAGCACCCACUGAGGGACAGUGCAGAUUCCCACAUCUACAGCACAGCACCCACUGCAGGAACAGCACAGAUUCCCACAUCUACAGUACGGCACCCACUGCAGGAACAGUACAGAUUCCCACAUCUACAGUACGGCACCCACUGCAGGAACAGCGCAGAUUCCCUCAUCUACAGCACAGCACCCACUGAGGGACAGUGCAGAUUCCCACAUCUACAGCACAGCACCCACUGCAGGAACAGCACAGAUUCCCACAUCUACAGUACGGCACCCACUGCAGGAACAGUGCAGAUUCCCACAUCUACAGUACGGCACCCACUGCAGGAACAGCGCAGAUUCCCUCAUCUACAGCACAGCACCCACUGAGGGACAGUGCAGAUUCCCACAUCUACAGUGCAGCACCCACUGCAGGAACAGUGCAGAUUCCCACAUCUACAGCACAGCACACACUGCAGGAACAGUGCAGUUUCCCUUGCGUCGCCCAGCAUAUGCAAUCCCCACUGCACGGAAGUCACCUGCACAACGCUGGAGUUGCCAACGGUUUGUGUUUCUAAGUUCCACUUGGGAGUUAGAUCUCAUCUUUAAUAAUAAUAGUUAAAUCCUUGUUUCGUUCAAGUUUAAAUGUGUAUAAACUCUGAAAUUCUAUUUUUACAGAUAGCUACAAAAGCUCACAAAAUAUAUCACUUCAAAUCCCUACAUGUUAUGUCUCCUGGGCAUACAAACUACAUUGAUGGUAAUGAACUACCAGAGUUUAAAUCUUAUGUUUCUUCUAAAUAAUGAACUCCUGUUUGUCAACCUGUAUUUUCACUUUUUUCUAUACUCCUGUGCAGUGUAUUUAAAGAAAGAAAUAUGGAAAAUAGUGAAAGACAUAGAAAAGAGUGGUCUAUCACCAACCUUCCCCCUUCCUCUCUUGUAUAUUGGAAAUCUCCAUCUAUGUAGCCCAAUUACAUCUCUUCAUUAGUCUGAUUUGGUGUUACUCACUUUUAAAAUAUAGUUGUUUGCAAAGUCUGAAAAUUAUCUUGAAAAAUGCAAAUUUUUUAAUGUGUACAAUUCUAUUUGUGCUAAAUAAAUUUAGACCUUUCUUAUAUUCAA
RNAcentral lists this long non-coding RNA (2070 nucleotides) under Homo sapiens (human). Its description in RNAcentral is "mucin-5AC-like, transcript variant 2 (LOC105376353)". Lineage: Eukaryota; Metazoa; Chordata; Mammalia; Primates; Hominidae. The record is from RNAcentral.